RNAcentral lists this ribosomal RNA (608 nucleotides) under uncultured eukaryote. Its description in RNAcentral is "SSU rRNA". It matches the Rfam family "Eukaryotic small subunit ribosomal RNA", at positions 1197 to 1827 of the family's 1831-position model. The record is from RNAcentral.
GACUCAACACGGGAAAACUCACCCGGCCCGGACACCGUAAGGAUUGACAGAUUGAGAGCUCUUUCUUGAUUCGGUGGUUGGUGGUGCAUGGCCGUUCUUAGUUGGUGGAGCGAUUUGUCUGGUUUAUUCCGAUAACGAACGAGACUCUGGCCUACUAAAUAGAGACAGGAUUAUUACUGUCCUGGAUUCUUCUUAGAGGGACAAGUGGUUUUCAGCCACACGAAAUUGAGCAAUAACAGGUCUGUGAUGCCCUUAGAUGUCCGGGGCUGCACGAGCGCUACACUGAAGGAAUCAGCGUGCUAAAACCAUUGUCGAAAGGCAUUGGUAAACCCCUCAAAAUCCUACGUGAUUGGGAUCGGGAAUUGCAAUUAUUUCCCUUGAACGAGGAAUUCCCAGUAAGUGUGGGUCAUAAGCUCGCGUUGAUUACGUCCCUGCCCUUUGUACACACCGCCCGUCGCUGCCCGGGACUGAGCCGUUUCGAGAAAAGCGGGGACUGCUGCUGUCGGGGCUUUCGGGCCUUGGCUUCGGUGGAAACCGCUUUAAUCGCAGUGGCUUGAACCGGGCAAAAGUCGUAACAAGGUUUCCGUAGGUGAACCUGCGGAAGGAUC